GACGAACGCUGGCGGCAUGCCUUACACAUGCAAGUCGAACGGCAGCACGGGAGCAAUCCUGGUGGCGAGUGGCGAACGGGUGAGUAAUAUAUCGGAACGUGCCCAGUCGUGGGGAUAACGUAGCGAAAGCUACGCUAAUACCGCAUACGAUCUAUGGAUGAAAGCGGGGGAUCGCAAGACCUCGCGCGAUUGGAGCGGCCGAUAUCAGAUUAGGUAGUUGGUGAGGUAAAGGCUCACCAAGCCGACGAUCUGUAGCUGGUCUGAGAGGACGACCUGCCACACUGGGACUGAGACACGGCCCAGACUCCUACGGGAGGCAGCAGUGGGGAAUUUUGGACAAUGGGCGCAAGCCUGAUCCAGCAAUGCCGCGUGCAGGAUGAAGGCCU
RNAcentral lists this ribosomal RNA (386 nucleotides) under uncultured bacterium. RNAcentral's name for it is "bacterial SSU rRNA". It matches the Rfam family "Bacterial small subunit ribosomal RNA", at positions 28 to 417 of the family's 1533-position model. The record is from RNAcentral.